This 211-nucleotide long non-coding RNA is filed under the name Chinchilla lanigera (long-tailed chinchilla). Its description in RNAcentral is "lncRNA (ENSCLAG00000028951.1)". The record is from RNAcentral. Lineage: Eukaryota; Metazoa; Chordata; Mammalia; Rodentia; Chinchillidae.
CUACAGGUCUCCAGGGAGGGGUGCAUCACCUACACUGGGCCAAGAAUCAGGAAGUCAUUACAUUUCCCAAUGGCACGGUUGUCAGAUGACAAGACCUAGUGAAGGCGCUGUGCAGCUGAGCUAAAUCCCCAGCCCUGAAGUUUGUUUCUUCAUCAAACAUUCAUGUUCCUAAUUGGCAGAGGACAACUAGGUAGGUGCUUUAUACAUAUUG